UCAAGGAAGAGAAGAGCAUACGGUGGAUGCCUUGGCGCGUUGCGGCGAAGAAGGACGUGGUGAACUGCGAAAAGCUUCGGGGAGUCGUAAACAGGCCGUGAUCCGGAGAUGUCCGAAUGGGGAAACCUCCCUGUUGUCAUGGACAGGGAUCGUGUUCUGAAUGAAGUAGGGGCACGAGGCGAACCCGGGGAACUGAACCAUCUUAGUACCCGGAGGAAGAGAAAUCAAGAGAGAUUCCCGGAGUAGCGGCGAGCGAAAGGGGACGAGCCGAAACCGAAACAGUGUCAAGAUCGUGAUCGUUGCUGUUUGGGGGUUGCGGGGCAAUGUGUCUGCGUGUCACGACACGCAGCGGGAAGCAUCAUGGAGACCGGAAGGGCCUGGAACGGUCCGCCGCAGAGGGUGAGAGUCCCGUAGGGGCAGCCAUGAGAGGACCCGAGGAUUGACCCCAAGUACCACGGGACACGUGAAACCUUGUGGGAAGCUGGGAGGCCCACCUUCCAAGGCUAAAUACGUCAACGCGACCGAUAGUGAACCAGUACCGUGAGGGAAAGGUGAAAAGAACCCGGGGCGAUGGCGUGCCUCUUGCAUAAUGAGCCGGCGAGUUACCGUGUACUGCCAGGUUAACACAGAGAGUGGGAGCCGGAGCGAAAGCGAGUCUGAAGAGGGCGUGCGAGUAGGACGCGGUAGACCCGAAGCCGAGUGAGCUAUCCAUGAGCAGGUUGCAGCGUUCGUAACAGGACGUGAAGGACCCGACCCACUCAGGUUGAAAACUGAGGGGAGGACUUGUGGAUAGGGGUGAAAGGCCAAUCAAACUCGGAGAUAGCUGGUUCUCCCCGAAAUUGCUGUAGGGCGAGCCUCUGGUGUUGGGUGUCGGGGGUAGAGCACUGAUUGGGUUAGGGCCCUUCGCCGGGUACCGUCCCCAGUCAAACUCCGAAUCCCGGCAACGUCGAGCCAGGGAGUGAGACGGUGGGGGAUAAGCUUCAUCGUCGAAAGGGAAAGAGCCCAGACCAUCAGCUAAGGUCCCGAACGGUCUGUUAAGUGGAAAAGGAUGUGGGGAUGCCCAGACAGCCAGGAGGUUGGCUUAGAAGCAGCCAUCCUUGAAAGAAAGCGUAACAGCUCACUGGUCAAGUGUGCCUGCGCCGAAAAUGUAACGGGGCUGAAACAGACGACCGAAGCUAUGGAUGCCUCUGCGGAGGCAUGGUAGGGGAGCGUUCUCUGCCACAGCGAAGCCGUUUCGAGAGGGGCGGUGGAGUGGAGAGAAGUGAAGAUGCCGGCAUGAGUAACGAUAAAACAGGUGAGAGUCCUGUUCGCCGAAAUUCUCAGGGUUCCUAGGGCAAGGCGAGUCCGCCCAGGGUUAGUCGGGACCUAAGCUGAGGCCGCGAGGCGUAAGUGAUGGCAAACAGGGGAAUAGUCCUGUACCACCGGCAUGAUGAUUGAGCGAGGGGGGUGACGUGUGCAGGGAGGCCGGCCUGUCAGUGGUAACACAGGUGGAACCCGGGAGGAGGACUGUGCGGCAAAUCCCACAGUCAGAGACUCUGAGCGGGGAGACCGGGCCGUCGGGCCAGAAGCGGUUGCGCCCUGGACACCAAGAAAAGCCCUCUAGUGAGUGAUGCGGGUGCCCGUACCCGAAACCGACACAGGUAGAAGCGGAAGGACUCCGUAGGCGUGUGAGCAAACCCUCGUUAAGGAACUCGGCAAAAUUACCCCGUAACUUCGGGAGAAGGGGUACCCUAGUACGGUGAGGAGAGCGAUACUCUGAGUCGGAGGGGGUGGCACAAACCAGGCCCAGGCGACUGUUUACUAAAAACAUAGGUCUCUGCGAAGUCGAAAAGACGCAGUAUAGGGACUGACGCCUGCCCGGUGCCGGAAGGUUAAGAGGAGGGGUUAGUUGUAAAGACGACGCUCUGAAUUGAAGCCCCGGUAAACGGCGGCCGUAACUAUAACGGUCCUAAGGUAGCGAAAUUCCUUGUCGGGUAAGUUCCGACCUGCACGAAUGUCCCACGACUAGACGGAAAGACCCCGUGCACCUUUACUAUAGCUUGACGUUGGGUUGUAGAGUAUUUUGUGCAGGAUAGGUGGGAGGCGGAGAAGUCAGCACGCCAGUGUUGGUGGAGCCAUCCUUGAAAUACCACCCUGAAUGCUUUGGAAUCCUCACUGCGCUCCGUGAAUCCGGAGCCGGGACAGGGUCAGGUGGGUAGUUUGACUGGGGCGGUCACCUCCCAAAGAGUAACGGAGGUGUGCGACGGUGCCCUCAGGCUGUAUAGAAAUCAGUCGGAGAGUGCAAAGGCAGAAGGGCGCUUGACUGCGAGACCGACGGGUCGAGCAGGUGCGAAAGCAGGUCUUAGUGAUCCGGCGGCACUUGGUGGCAGGGCCGUCGCUCAACGGAUAAAAGGUACGCCGGGGAUAACAGGCUGAUUCUGCCCGAGAGUUCCCAUCGACGGCAGAGUUUGGCACCUCGAUGUCGGCUCAUCGCAUCCUGGAGCUGCGUGAGACAGUUCGGUCCCUAUCUGUCGUGGGCGGAAGGAGAUUUGCGAGGGGCUGUCCUUAGUACGAGAGGACCGGGAUGGACACAUCACUUGUGUACCAGUUGUCGUGCCAACGGCAUGGCUGGGUAGCGACAUGUGGUCGGGAGAACCGCUGAAAGCAUCUAAGCGGGAAGCCCUCCUCCAGAUGAGAUCUCCCGUUUUUCUGCGGAAAGACCGAAGGGCCCUGGGAGAUGACCAGGUAGAUAGGCGGCAUGUGGACGCGCGGUAACGUGUGGAGCAGAGCCGUACUAAGCGCCCGAGCGCGACUUGACUCC
Molecule: ribosomal RNA, 2800 nt
Filed under: oral metagenome
Description: bacterial LSU rRNA
Rfam family: Bacterial large subunit ribosomal RNA
Source: RNAcentral